UGUUGUUGCUGACGAGUGGCGGACGGGUGAGUAAUGUCUGGGAAACUGCCUGAUGGAGGGGGAUAACUACUGGAAACGGUAGCUAAUACCGCAUAAUGUCGCAAGACCAAAGAGGGGGACCUUCGGGCCUCUUGCCAUCGGAUGUGCCCAGAUGGGAUUAGCUAGUAGGUGGGGUAACGGCUCACCUAGGCGACGAUCCCUAGCUGGUCUGAGAGGAUGACCAGCCACACUGGAACUGAGACACGGUCCAGACUCCUACGGGAGGCAGCAGUGGGGAAUAUUGCACAAUGGGCGCAAGCCUGAUGCAGCCAUGCCGCGUGUAUGAAGAAGGCCUUCGGGUUGUAAAGUACUUUCAGCGGGGAGGAAGGGAGUAAAGUUAAUACCUUUGCUCAUUGACGUUACCCGCAGAAGAAGCACCGGCUAACUCCGUGCCAGCAGCCGCGGUAAUACGGAGGGUGCAAGCGUUAAUCGGAAUUACUGGGCGUAAAGCGCACGCAGGCGGUUUGUUAAGUCAGAUGUGAAAUCCCCGGGCUCAACCUGGGAACUGCAUCUGAUACUGGCAAGCUUGAGUCUCGUAGAGGGGGGUAGAAUUCCAGGUGUAGCGGUGAAAUGCGUAGAGAUCUGGAGGAAUACCGGUGGCGAAGGCGGCCCCCUGGACGAAGACUGACGCUCAGGUGCGAAAGC
RNAcentral lists this ribosomal RNA (684 nucleotides) under uncultured bacterium. RNAcentral's name for it is "bacterial SSU rRNA". It matches the Rfam family "Bacterial small subunit ribosomal RNA", at positions 80 to 760 of the family's 1533-position model. The record is from RNAcentral.